CGNUACGGCGUGCCUAAUACAUGCAAGUCGAGCGAAUGGAUUAAGAGCUUGCUCUUAUGACGUUAGCGGCGGACGGGUGAGUAACACGUGGGUAACCUGCCCAUAAGACUGGGAUAACUCCGGGAAACCGGGGCUAAUACCGGAUAAUAUUUUGAACUGCACGGUUCGAAAUUGAAAGGCGGCUUCGGCUAGUCACUUAUAGGAUAGGACCCGCGUCGCAUNUAGCUAGUUGGUAGAGGUAACGGCUACACCAAGGCAACGAUAGCGUAGCCGACCUAGAGAGGGUAGAUACGGCCACACUAGGGACUAGAGACACGGCCCAGACUACCUAACGGGAGGCAGCAGUAGGGAAUACUAUACCCGGCCAAUUAGGACGAAAGUCUGACGGAGCAACGCCGCUGUUGAGUUGAUUGAAGGGCUUUCUGGGUCGUAAAACUCUUGUUUGUUUAGGGA
RNAcentral lists this ribosomal RNA (453 nucleotides) under uncultured bacterium. RNAcentral's name for it is "bacterial SSU rRNA". It matches the Rfam family "Bacterial small subunit ribosomal RNA", at positions 34 to 448 of the family's 1533-position model. The record is from RNAcentral.